This 253-nucleotide ribosomal RNA is filed under the name uncultured bacterium. RNAcentral describes it as "partial 16S ribosomal RNA". It matches the Rfam family "Bacterial small subunit ribosomal RNA", at positions 524 to 776 of the family's 1533-position model. The record is from RNAcentral.
UACAGAGGUCUCAAGCGUUGUUCGGAAUCACUGGGCGUAAAGGGUGCGUAGGCCGCACGGUAAGUCAGAGGUGAAAUCCCGGAGCUCAACUCCGGAAUGGCCUCCGAUACUGCCGUGCUCGAGGACUGGAGAGGAGUCUGGAAUUCACAGUGGAGCAGUGAAAUGCGUAGAUAUUGUGAGGAACACUAGUGGCGAAGGCGAGACUCUGGACAGUUCCUGACGCUGAGGCACGAAAGCUAGGGGAGCAAACAGG